Podarcis lilfordi (Lilford's wall lizard) is the source of this 25719-nucleotide non-coding RNA. The record is from the annotation of a GenBank genome assembly. NCBI's taxonomy places the organism in Eukaryota, Metazoa, Chordata, Lepidosauria, Squamata, Lacertidae.
CAGCUGAGCCCCUCGUGUGAGCCUGUGCAUUUGCCAGGGGCUGCCUGCUGCCUGUGGGAACAAGAGAAGCCUCCCAGGGGGAUCUGAGAGCGGCUUGAGCCCCACAGCCCCCCUUGAUGUUGGGCACAAAGGGCUACAAGGUCAGUUGCUGCAUCCCUGUCCAAGUACAGCUGUGGGUUGUGAUAGGAAUUUUGAGGUCUUAAAAGGUAAAGGGACCCCUGACCAUUAGGUCCAGUCGUGGCCGACUCUGGGGUUGCGGCGCUCAUCUCGCUUUAUUGGCCGAGGGAGCCGGCGUUUGUCUGAAGACAGCUUGCCGGGUCAUGUGGCCAGCAUAACUAAGCCGCUUCUGGUGAACUAGAGCAGCGCACGGAAACGGUGUUUACCUUCCCGCCGGAGUGGUACCUAUUUAUCUACUUGUACUUUGACGUGCUUUUGAACUGCUAGGUUGGCAGGAGCAGGGACCGAGCGACGGGAGCUCACCCCAUCGCGGGGAUUCGGACCGCCGACCUUCUGAUCUACUUUAUUUACAUAUAAACACACACGGAGCACUGCAACAUGGCUCCCUCUCUCUCUAGCAUCAGACAGCAGAGAGAGAGAGAAAGGACAAUAGUCCCACUUCACAGAACACAGUAACACAAACAUCCUGUCUCCGUCACUUCCCACUCUGUGGUGUCAGAACAUACAGCAUCAUGUGAAAGACAACAAUCCCAUGACUGCAAUCAUGGAGCAGGAAUUCUAAGAAUAAUAUGCCUCACCCAAAGAGCGCUUUUUAAAAAAAGAAAGGAAGAAAGAAUACCAAAUAAUUUCAUAGAACUUUGCACACUUAUAUAGGGUAAAGUCAUCCUAACUGGAGUGGUACUUCUUGAUAGUAUGCUUCUGAAUUUCAGCGGCUGGAAAUUGCAGGAGGGGAGCUUGGCUACUGUGAGAACAGGCAUCCUGGACUAGGUGGGUCCCUGGCUUGGUGCAACAGGGUUUUUAAAGUUAUUUUGUAUAUGGUGCAACUCAGGAAUAGGUGAAGUCCCAUUGAUUCUUGGGGGAGUAAGGCAGGACUGGGCCUUCGUAGAAUGUGAUAUUUAAAGAUGAUGUAUUACAUUUUUACCAAGUAACUGGUUCUAAAAAAACAAUAUCCAAAUAAUCAGCUUAAUCAAAAGAAUCCGUUGAGAGCCUGUUUGGCAGAAAAGUAUGGUGAAAAUGAAAAAAAUCUGUCAGUAGUUUGUUGUUCAACUCUUGAAGCACAUUUACUUUCGUGGGAAUAAACUACCUCCCGGCUCCCCCCCUCAAAAAAACCCCCAAACAGCAACCAUAGGUAUCAGGGCUGAAAUAAGUGCUGGAAAUCAUGAUGACCUCUGAACUUGAAAAUUUUGCUCUCCUUUCCUCUUGAUCACUAGUGUUAGUGACCAAAAAUAUAUAUGCACAUACCUAAAGGAAUUUCUUCUAUUUCACGUUGUUGUUGUACUCAUCAUCCUUAAUUACACACCCUUUACCAACAUGUCCCAGAUUGGGUUACAAUUCAAAAUUCAAAAUUUAAAACAGUUAAAACAGUUAACAAUCAAAGGAAUAGAGGGGCCCCUGAAAACACACAUCUCAAAGGUGGAGAGGUUCAUCUCCAUCUUUUGCCAAAAGCUGAACAGUGAAGAAGCCAAACACAUAACAGUGAGGACGGAAUUCCAAAGUUUAGGGAGGGGAUUCAACAGAGAAUACAAUCUUCUGGGCCACACCCCCCCCCAAUUCUGAGGGCUGUGAAACUCCCAAGAGCUUCCCCUCUGCUGAUCUUAACACCUGUGAGGGUCUGCACCUGCGAGAUCUUUCAGCUAUGUGAGGCUUAAGUAAUUUAGGGCUUAAAACACUAAAGUGAGUAAUAUAAAGUGAGUACAGUGGUACCUCAGGUUAAGUACUUCAUUCGUUCCGGAGGUCCGUACUUAACCUGAAACUGUACUUAACCUGAAGCACCACUUUAGCUAAUGGGGCCUCCUGCUGCCGCCGUGCCGCCGGAGCACAAUUUCUGUUCUCAUCCUGAAGCAAAGUUCUUAACCUGAAGCACUAUUUCUGGUUUAGCGGAGUCUGUAACCUGAAGCGUAUGUAACCUGAAGCGUAUGUAACCCGAGGUACCACUGUGCUAUAAAAUGCAGCUCUUAUAUGAAGGCCUGGAAAAAAAUGGGAAAAAUUGGAGGAAAAACAGGUUUUCCCCCAUUUCCCCCCAAGGCAGUUUUUUAGAAGCCCAUGAGAAAAAAUGACAAAAAGGAAGAGGAAGAGAAAAUGGAAAAUGAUAGCAGUAGUUCAGAAAAUGAGAUAGAAUAAACUGCAUGUACAGUCAUAACUCAUGUUUCAUCCGCUUCAUGUUACGUUCUUUCAGGUUAUGUCCCGUGGCGACCCGGAACUACCGGAAAGGUUUACUUCCGGGUUUUGCCGCUCGCGCAUGCGCACAUGCGCAAAAUGACGUCACACGCAUGUGCAGAAGCAGCGAAUCGCAACCUGCACGUGUGCAGACGCGCCGCUGCGGGUUGCGCUCUUUUCAUGUUGCGAACGGGCCUCCGGAACGGAUCCCGUUCGCAACCAGAGGUACCACUGUAUAUGUUGUGUCUUCUGUUUCUUUUUUAAAAAAGCACUACUCAAAGGGUAGACCUUCUGUGGAGCUUAAAUAUUGAGGUCAACCUUAACUUUAUUUGCUGUUGGUGUUUUUAUGUUGAUGGUUUCUUGGUUUUUGCUAUCCUGGGCAGCCCAUUUGCCACUUCAGAGCGCUCCUUCGUCUCACUGGGUCUCGCCUGGGGCUUGGGCUACACAGUGGUUUGGCAGGGCACAUACCAAACUUUCUGUGGGAUGGCCGCCCCUGGAGCCCUUUCCAGUGACUGCCACAGAGAAGCCCAUUUAUCUAUUUCUUGGAGUAUCAUAGUAUCACAGAACUGGAUGGCUGGAAGGGACCCCUGAGGGCCCUCUAGUUAGACCAACCCCCUCCAGUGCAGGAAUCACAGCACAAGCAUCUCUCACAAAACAACUUUGCUCCAUCUUCCCUGUGAACAGCCCCUCAGAUACAACAGAAUAACAGAACCAUUUGCAGAGUUGGAAGGGAACCACCAGGGUCAUCCAGUCCAACCCCCUGCAAUGCAGAAAUCUUUUGCCCAACAUGGGGCUUGAAACCACAACCCUGAGAUUAAGAGUCUCAUGUUUUACUACUACUACUACUACUACUAUUACUAAUUUAUUUGUACCCUGCCCAUCUGGCUGGGUCUCCGCAGCCACUCUGGGCGGCUUCCAACAAAGAUUAAAAAUACAUUAAAAUGUCACCCAUUAAAAACUUCCCUAAACAGGGCUGCCUUCAGAUGUCCUCUGAAUGUCAGGUAGUUGUUUAUCUCUUUGACAUCUGGUGGGUUUAGGGCUUAAAACAUACUUUAGGCUUAAAACAUACUUUAGCUUAAGGCUUAAAACAUCUCUGGGGAAUCUUUCCUAAAAAAGUCAACAACUUUGGGGUCCCCCCUUAAGGUCGACAACUCUGGGAAAUGGGGGUGGGACGACGACGACCACCAGAGGGAUCUUUGCACCACUGCACCAGAUAUUCUUAAGAUGGCCCUGCACAGUGCAACUCAGCACCAACAAAAUGUGUAAGUUGUGUUACUGAGAAAGCUGUCAAACCUUCAUUUCCUCCUUGCACCGAGCUGAGAAGCACCAAAGUGCUUGCCACAGUCAACAAUGACUUUUGUGGGCCAAUGAAUUGGGGGAAGAACAAGUAUAUACUAAUUUUUCUUGAUGAUUUUGAAAGUAUUGUGUAACAUAUUUCCUCAAGGAAAAGAGUGAAACGCUGGAAAUGUUCAAGAACUACCUUGCUAUGGUGAAGAACAAAUUCCAGAGAGCACCAGCUAUGCUAAUGACUGAUAAUGGGAGUGAGUAUCGCUCACGUGACAUGCAAUCUCUCCUAGAAAAGGAAGGAAUUGUGCAUGUAACCACUGUUCCUUACACCCCACAACAGAACUCAAUAGCUGAAAGAAAGUUCAGAUCCAUCAUGGAGAUGACAAGGUGCAUGUUAAAGGAUGCGUUUCUACCCCAAAGCAUGUGGAGAGAAGCAGUAGAAACAACUGCAGUGUAUCUCCAGAACAGACUGCCAGCAAAGGGAGCUAAAUGCACACCUUUUGAACUUUGGCAUGGGAGAACUCCCAACCUGUCACACAUUCGUGCAUUUGGAAGUCUAUGUUACUACCAUGUUUCCAGAGAACAUAAAGGUAAAGGUAAAGGGGCCCCUGACCACUAGGUCCAGUUGUGACCACCUCUGGGGUUGCGGCGCUCAUCUCACUUUAUUGGCCAAGGGAGCCGGCGUACAGCUUCCGGGUCAUGCGGCCAGCAUGACUAAGCCACUUCUGGUGAACCAGAGCAGUGCACGGAAACACCGUUUACCUUCCUGCCAGAGUGGUACCUAUUUAUCUACUUGCCCUUUGACGUGCUUUCGAACUGCUAGGUGGGCAGGAGCAGGGACCGAGCAACAGGAGCUCACCCCAUCAUGGGGAUUCGAACCGCCGAUUUUCUGAUUGGCAAGUCCUAGGCUCUGUGGUUUAACCCACAGCGCCACCCGCGUCCCUCUCCAGAGAACAUAGACCUAAGCUUAAUCCCACUUCUUAAUCCACUCCUUAUUCUCUGGCAGGUGGAGUUGCUGCUGGAGGCCUUCUACAAGAUCACCCAGGGGCCUACAGUGGAGGGCAGAAAUGUGGCUGUCUGUGCUUUCUCCAUCAUAGCUUGCCAUCACCUGGAGAAAGUGAUUGAAUACCUCCCACAGUGUCACGAGCCUGUCUCCAAAUUUCUUCCUCUUCUUACCCUUCUUUUUUGCUGCCUCGUGGCAACAGACAGAGGUUUUGGGGGGCUCCUGCCGUGGUACCAUAGCCAUGAAUAGGUCCUUCAAAAGGAAGAGCGAUUUCUUCUCUCUGUAGCAUGGCAGCAAGCAGAAGACUUGCAUCUGCAUUCACAGUGACUGCGAGAGAAUAUGGCAGGAGGUUUUUGCAUCGGCCGACCAACAACAACUACUCCAUCUGAGGGCCGAGCAACUGUACCAAAGCCCCUUGGCGGAAUCUGCCACCACAGUGGUAAGGACAAACCGCCUGCUUUCUGGUUUCCUUCUCCCCAGCGUAAUAUCCAGGGGUUUCUGUAUUCAGCAUAAAAGCAGGGAAAGUGACUUGCACCUCUCUCUCUUCCAGCAACAUCUGACCAGCCUGUUGCACGCCAUCCUCAGGAUGGAGGAAUACAAGGCAGCUGUGCACCAGCACUUCCCACAGCUGCUGAUCGCUCUCCUGGGAAUGCUUAUCAACUUCCCCUAUGACCAGGAAUUCCCCAGAUGAGUAGUGCAUUGCAAAGCGGCCAAUAGAGUCCUUUUUCCCUUCAGCCUCUGGGGGUUUCCAGUCCAGUUGGUUUUCCAAGGGAGGCUCUCCUUCAGGCGGCUACUAGGGAGCAAGGAUGGGGAAUGAAUUUGAUUCUGUUUGCAUGUCAAGGCAGAUCUGCAUAAUUCACAUUUUCUGGAAAUAACAACUUCUGGGGAAGCCUCGUAAACAUGGUUUUCCACUUUGGUUCUUGAUGUUCUGACUUACAAUAAUCAAAUACCAAACAGUACAGAAAACCAGGAUCUUUUGAUGCUAUCCUGCUGAGAGCAGCUCUUUUUUCUUUUUCUUUUUUCCAGAUAAGAGGUCCUGAUUCCCAAAGCCUGUGGCAGUGACCCACCUGGUAAUACUGGCCUUGUUUUGAAUACAGAGAGGCUAAGGAACAUCUGCACCACCUUCUCAGCACCACUGGAGAGAAGCUAGAGACAGCCAUCAUAGACCAAUUUUUCUGCCCGGAGAAUUUCAGCCAGGGGUUGUCUGCCAUGGUGAGGUAAGAGGAAGAACACAGUGACCUUCUAAUGGUCUGGCAAAUGGAGCUCAAGGCAUGGGAUAGGAAUGUGUCCCUGAAAGUGAUACUGUUGGAUUCCUCCCAUGGUGGAAAACAUCACCGCUGCUCUUAAGAACAAGGAGUUUGGCAGAAUGCCACAAGCAGCUGGAGCUAUCUACAUCGAGGUGAGGGGGACUGACGCAGGAGGAAAUGGGUGCAGCAAGGAGGCCCUGACUUGGUUUCUGCUGAGAGUUGGGCUUUGUGUUCUUCAACUCUGUCUUUCCCAGAGGGACGUGUCCUUCCACUAACAGCAGAGAGUCCCCCAAGGCCAAAUUCUGCAUCUCUUCUGCCACAUCCAUGCCAUCUUUGGCUACACUGAAGACAUGGUGAAGCAAAGUUUGGUCUCUGACCAAUACAACCAUGUUGUGGUUGUCUUACAACAUAGCAGAGGCAUCUUUAUUGAUGAGAUCUCUGCGGGUGAAGGGGCUUUUGUGGUCUCCCUACACAAGGCCUUCCUGCAACAUUGUUUUUGGGUGGCCCCAAGAAGCGCAGCUCCCAAGGUUCCCCAUUUAAAGGCUUUCCUCCGGAUGCAGACAACAGAUACUCGCCCUCCCCAGUUUAGACGGCAACCCCAGUGGGGGUUCUCCAACAUGCCCCCAUCAGAGUUUGGACCUUGCACCUACAUUUAACUUCAAUAUUCUGUGGCUUACGUCAAAGCUACUUAGAGCCUAAGGAUUGUCUACAGUUUUGGUGUUCCUCAGAGUAGACCCAUUGGACUUAAUGUACAUGGUGAACUUAGGUCCAUUCACUUCCAUGGGUUUGCUUCACACAGAACUGUGUUGGAUACAACUCUCCAUCUGUAGUAAGAAUACAGAUGGUGGAUAAACCGAGAACCUGUCUAAACCUUUCAUCCCUGAAGAACACACCUAGUGCAACCACAUAUAGGCAGCUUUUCCAGCUGCAUGCAAGUUUACAUGUUUCUUGUAACCCUCUGACGGUAAAUACAUCCAGACCAAGCAAUCUCAGAAUCUCUCUUGGACAGCAAAAUUCUUGCAAGCUGAGCAUGUGAAAUAAGGGAAAUAUAUCUAUAAAGGCUCUUUUACAGUCUUGUGGACAAAAGAAAUUGAGGUGUUCAGCAAAAUGAGAGCUGUUUUUUUUUUAAUCACUCCCUUCUUCCCUAUGCUUCCAUUUUAAUAUGUUGCACUAAUGUCCCCCCCACCCCUUCAUUUGAUUAUAGCACAGAGUUACUGAUGCAGCAGCAAAUUAGAUUUUUCUCUUGUCCUUAAUGUGCUGCAAUAAUGAAAUCCAUGACUUUCAACCUCACAGGUUGACAUCACCUGUAUAUUGGCAGUUCAGAGCUGAAGGCUGGGAGCUCAUUUGUCUUACUUGGGCUGGCUUUCUUUCCCGUGAAAAGAGCCCCCAAGGAAUGAUAUAUUUUGUGCUAUCUGAGCUUCCGAGGCUGAUAAAAUAGUUUUAAAACUCACACACCAAAGAAGCUUUGUUCUUUUGCCUGAAAUAUAUUUUGCUCAUAUUGUGUCUUAACAGACACCCUGUUUUCAGAGUCUGAGGCACCGGGGUCAGCAGCAGUCUGCAUCAAAGAUUUUGUAGAUGUGUCCCACUUUACAGAGGGCAGUCCUCUGUCUAAGGGCACCCCUCACUUUGAAGGGCUGUGUGAUCUGAAUCUGGCUUUGAAGAUAAAGAACCCUAAAAAGAGAGAGCAAAAUAGUAUGUCCUCUCUUUUUUUAGUGAUGUCAAAGGAUUGAAUUUCUUUGUCCAAUGAGCAUGCUCAGUCCCUUUGCGGUAGGAGGGAUUUCAUCCCCUUAGGGACUUUCCUGUAUAUUUUUGCUACUUCUUCAGAUUUGUAAAUGUUUUGCUUUUGGCCUUUUCUAGUAAUCAAUGUGACCUGUCCUGUACCUAGACCAAAUUCAAGGUUUCUAGGUGAUGGGGAACUAUUUUAACAGUUUGGGUACCCCGAUGAGUGAGUCAAGUUGCCAGGCAACUUGUACUUAUGUGAAGGAUAGGUUGCAAUAGUGUUAAUAUAAAGAGAUAUGAGCUAUCUUUUCCUAUAAACAACUAUGGAUUUUGCUGAAAGUAUAAUUAUAUAAACAUGCUCACGGAUGAUUACAAUUAUUUAAGCAUUAUUGCUGCAGGUGUGCGAUAGCAAUUACAGAAGAGCACUUACGCUGAGAUUCAGUUGUACAAAUAUCAGCACCUGCUUGCUUUACUGAAACAGCUUAAUUAACAUAAUAUGUUCUAUAUUUGAUUACACCAAAGUGGAAUUGUGUCCACCAAAUCAAAGGCACAUGUUUCUGCUUCUGAAGCAUAAUUGCUUAAUUGUUGUUGUAUAUAUUAAUUUUUUCAUAAUGUUCCUUGCCUGAAAGUCCUUGACUUCAAUGCUGCUUUCAGCUCAAGGAGUUCGGCUCCCUUUCUGUUUCCAUUUUAGCAAUAUGGUUAGUCAGAAUUCCAAGGGAAUUGGUACCUGCAGGGGACUUGAACUGAAAACCUCUGGGUCUUCGGUUGAUACAUAAACUAAUGUGUAUUCAAGACCCAGGGCUCUUCUCAAACACACAAGGGAACGGGGAGGAACAAUCACUGGGACUGGCAGGUGGUAUGUCAGGGACUGUCAAGGUUCUGAAGGGUGUGUGGUGGACUUGCUGGGAACCAGGGGAGCAACCCAAGAGAGGGGACCAGUGCUUUAUGGGAUGUCACACCACCCACGAGGCAGGAGCCCGGGGAAGCUGCUGUUUUUCAUCUACCACAUGCAGCUGCUGUUUCUCAUCUACCACAUGCAAUAGACUGAAGAGCCUGCAAGCAAAAUAAUACUUUGCCAACCUCCUGGAAUCUCAGCAUGUGGUUUCCCAUCCAAUGUGAAACCAUACCAAACCCUCCUUAGCUAGCAGUUUUAUGGGGAUCACCCCCCGCAUACUUCAAUCUGCAGGAACGGAUGGAUGUUGCCCUUUGUAUUUAUUUCAUGGUCAAAGCCCUCCAUAGCCACCGUCUGCAUGUGUGUGUAUUCUUCGUUGCAUGCAUUUUUCUGUAAUUUCUAUUAUCUGCAUGCAACAUUAAUCCUGCCACAAUGUAUGAGAAAUGCUUUGAACAUUUGAAUUGUGCCAAAUGCCAUCUUUAGCCCAGUUCAAAACCUACAGCUCUGAAAGCUUGGCCAGUUUUAUGUUGCAAAUGGGAGACACUGGCUGGCAGAGGGCCGGGAGACAAUGAUUUCCCCUAACGCCACUCAGAGAGUUUGCAGAUCAGCUGACAUUUGAACUACGGGUUUCAUGGUCUGCAGCUAAUACUUUUGACCUACUGUGCAAGCUUUCAACAUGUCUAGCAAUCUGGCUGCGCCCAUAGCUAAAUGUCAGCAUGGCCAGACAAGGCAAAUCUGUAACUGCUGGAAAGAAGCGACACUCCCCAGUCCCUAGAUUGGGGAUAGGCAAUGUGGUGCCCUCCAGUUGGACUACAACUCUCAUCAGCCCUAGUCAGCCUGGGAGAUGUAGUCCAAUGACACUACCUGGCCUAGAUUGAGCGUGCUUUAAUGAUUUGUGGUAAGACUUACAGCAAGAUGCAGAAAUAACAACAAUCCUGUUUAGAGGAAUCUCCAUGCAACCCUUAACGACGUCUGGUUUAGCUUGAAUGUGACUGUUAGAGGCAGAAUUAACAGAAUGUUUUCAAAACAUCCAAGCUUAAUAUUCAUCUUCUCAUUAAAGCUGAAGUGGUAGUGGGCAGUGGAGCUCUCAAGGAAUAUAGCAGAGACUCUCAUGUAAUUAAAGCAAUUACUUCACUUUGGCAUAUCUGGAAAGUUGCCAUUCCCUGUGUUUAAUAACGAAGGGACGUAGUUUGACAAGAUCUAUGCCUCUAUGUACCAUAAAACAAACUGCUGAGCUGUCUAUUACUCGGGCAACACAAACCUAUUUUUCAUUCUGUUUUGUCAGGUCUAAUUUCUCCCAGGAGCCCAGAUUGCAUUAGUACUCAUCAGACUUAGGAGGAAGGGAUAUUUUUAUUAUUUUAAAGUUGAUCCAUUGAUUUCUUUUUCUCUCUGCCUCUCUCCGCUGAUUAAAAAAACACUCCCCCAGAAACCAUUCCAUGGCUUCUUUAAAUAAUAUAUUCCAGAACAAGCCAUGUGUGGAAGUAAUUGACAGGAAAUACGAAAUGCUCGUUUAUUUCAUAUGAUUUGGAAUGUUUAAAAAAAUGAAAUGGCAGAACUCUCCUUCCUUGGAGGUUUUUAAGCAGAGGUUGGAUAGCCACCUGUCAUGGAUGCUUUAGUUGAGUUUCCAGGGGGUCGGUCUAGAUGACCCUCAGGAUCCCUUCCAAUUCUAGGAUUCUUGUUUCUGCUCUCUGCAAGCACUGCUUGAACUGUUGCACAAAACCAAUAUAACCAGAGGCUGGACAAAGGAGCAUGUUCUGUUGCAAAUGAUAGCUCCACAGUGCCACCUUCAAGACUUUGAAAAGGCUUAUCGGCAACAAUGCUUCAUUCCCUGUGUGGAGGCCACUGAGCAGAUGUUCCAGCUGUGCCUGACUGAAACAUGCAGCAUCCCAUGGUGGGGACUGGGCGGGUACAAUCCUGAUUUCUUCACUCGGACAGCAGGGUGCAGCGGCUGUGUGUGACAAUGAAUGAAAGAGGCUGGGCCAUCCUACUUCCCCGUCUCCUCACAACACCCUCCACCCCCAUCUAUCAGCCAGCAACAGUGACAUCUAAAACAGGAACAUCUAAAAUAGGCUGUUGAAUUAGGUGAUGCCCUGAACCAGCACAUUCUAUGAUGGAUCCUACGGUCAUCUAUCAUAAUAAAGUCAAUGCAAAAGAGACCAGAUAAGCCCCCUUUCCAGCAAAGCAAUAUAACCUCUCUGCCAAAUACUGUCUUGCAUCAUGACCUUGGCAAGCUGGAAGAAAAUGCACUUCGUGUGAUUUACACGGUUCACCAAUUCCUUUGUUCUUCCUCCAGAUUAGCUAUUUUAAAAAUCACUUGCGGUUUGCACCCGCUCACAAAAACUUCAUUAAUCACUGCAGCAGAGGCAGUAUUUAUUUAUUUAUUUUUUAAAAAGUAUGCUACUGUUUUAGGGAACCAAAUAUAAUUAGCUGUUUUGUGAUUCAUUCAAACUGGCAGCCUUAAUUAGCAUAAUUGAUAGGCUGAUUAAUGAAUAAAUCAUGGAUUUAAAACGGGAUUUUUAAUCAGUGCUGUCCCUUCGAAGAGGGUGUUUCUGUGCCAAUCAUAAUAUUCUAAAUUAUUUGUGUGCACUUCUGUUUCACCGAACGUGUCAGAGACGAUUUGGCAGUAGCUUUCGUAAGGCAGGUAUCUUCAAUUACCCAUAAAGCAUAUCCUGAAAUGAGAUACUAUAUUUAUUUAGUUAAUGCAGUACUGUUGAUUCAAAAAGAAGAAGAAAAUUAUCUGAUUGCCGUAUUGCUCAGAGUCCUGCUUGCUCAGAGUCCUGCAUGGAGUGAGUCAGUUGUUCUGAACGACAAUUCUAUAUUUUUAGAUCUCAAAUGUUAACUCUCUCCUGGAUAGUAUAUGACUGAGCAGUCACAGAUAGUGACCAUGCCAGCUUCUGCUCUGGGAUAAAUUUUAACUGCAUAAUUAUUGGCUUGGUGCAAGCGCAUUCUUUCUCAUCUGGUUUUGGUGUGAUGACUAUUGGUCCCAUCACUGCUUCCCUCCACCCAUGCCUCCUGAAUAACUGGGGCUGCAGAGUUAUUAAUGUUCUAAUAGGUUAGCAGGAAGGCCACAUAACAUGGAUGCCAGAAAAUUCAGACAGAAACAGGAGUAGAACCGCCUGUGUUUGCUGAGAGCCACUGUGGUGUAGUGGUUGAGAGCGGUAGACUCAUAAUCUGGUGAACCGGGUUCGUGUCCCUGCUCCUCCACAUACAGCUGCUGGGUGACCUUGGGCUAGUCACACUUCUCUGAAGUCUCUCAGCCCCACUCACCUCACAGAGUGUUUGUUGUGGGGGAAGAAGGGAAAGGAGAAUGUUAGCUGCUUUGAGACUCCUUAAAGGUAAAGGUAAAGGGACCCCUGACCAUCAGGUCCAGUCGUGACCGACUCUGGGGUUGUGGCACUCAUCUCACUUUAUUGGCCGAGGGAGCCGGCGUACAGCUUCCGGGUCAUGUGGCCAGCACGACUAAGCCGCUUCUGGCGAACCAGAGCAGCGCACGGAAACACCGUUUACCUUCCCGCCAGAGAGGUGCCUAUUUAUCUACUUGCACUUAGACAUGCUUUCAAACUGAUAGGUUUGCAGGAGCAGGGACCGAGCAACGGGAGCUCACCCCGUCACGGGGAUUCGAAACGCUGACCUUCUGAUCAGCAAGUCCUAGGCUCUGUGGUUUAACCCACAGCAUUACCCGCGUCCAUUGAGACUCCUUAGGGUAGUGAUAAAGCAGGAUAUCAAAUCCAAACUCUUCUUCUUCUUCUAUUUGUUCCAUGUCCAGAAAUCAACCCAGCAAAUACGGCUGGUGUUUGCUACUGCUGCUGCUUUUGGCCCACUAACGAUACGCAAUGUCUCCUCCAUUUGCAUGGCAUUUAUUUUGCACUGUGGACUAACAUAAUCACAAUGCCAUAAUUUAAUUAAUUACAAAAGAAUUAUGCACCUUGGGGCACCUUAGACUUGAAACUGAGAUUGAUUCAGCAAAAAAAUAACAUUUCAGUAUAUUGGACUCCACAAUGUUUCUAUAGGAAGAUAUUGGAGGUGUAAUGUUGAGAAUGCCUUUUUGAGGCACGAUAUGGACUUAUCAGUCCUUUGAGUCUAAAAUUGUUAGUAACAUAUAUUUGUGUUAUUUUAAACUAUAUUCCUGAAGUAUGCAGAUCAGUGGCUGGACAAUGAAAGUGGAUUUUGCAAGCCACUAUGGUGGCUAAGAUACCUACACUUUAGGAUAACUGCCCAUUGUUUAUUUUGCAAUGGUUUGAGGACCUCACUGCCCUGGGUACAUUCAAAUGUGUUUUGUAUUGUAUAGACAUUGGUUUUGUGUUGACACCUAUUUUGACAUCUGCAUGGCUUAAAGAUCCAUGUACUAAUAAUGGUCCCUAUAUCCACUGACGCGGGUGGCGCUGUGGGUUAAACCACAGAGCCUAGGGCUUGCCGAUCAGAAGGUCGGCGGUUCGAAUCCCCGCGAUGGGGUGAGCUCCCGUUGUUUGGUCCCUGCCCCUGCCAACCCAGCAGUUCGAAAGCACGUCAAAGUGCAAGUAGAUAAAUAGGUACCGCUCCGGCGGGAAGGUAAACGGCGUUUCCGUGUGCUGCUCUGGUUCGCCAGAAGCAGCUUAGUCAUGCUGGCCACAUGACCCGGAAGCUGUCUGCAGACAAACGCCGGCUCCCUUGGCCCAUAGAGCGAGAUGAGUGCGCAACCCCAGAGUCGGUCACGAUUGGAUCUAAUUGUCAGGGGUCCCUUUACCUUUACCUUUAUCCACUGACGGUGGUUUGUUGUUGUUGCUGACAUCUGUCGGUCUUGGGAGACAUGGAAGAUUGUAAAGGUAAAGUCAAACCGUUGGAAAGUUACAGUGCUUGCUGUGGCUGUAGAGACUGAUACAGGAGAGACAUGUUUUGUUGCAGCUGGGGCAGAUGAAGGUGUCCAUUUGUGCUGCUGCAGAUGCACCAUGGCGUUUCUUCUCUCUGUGUUCCUCCCAGCCAUUCCUUCUCUGGUCACUCUGUGGGUACACAACCUGAGUUUUCUGUCUGCAGGCACUGCGAUUGUCUGCGAGGGAUUCCUAUACGGCAGGGAUAAUGUUGUCAUGUUUGCAGACACUUUGUAAUGCAAAGUUGGUCUGUCAACAGGUCUGCUGCUGGAAGCCAGCUGCCCAUAUGGAGCUCAUCCUUGGGGAUUCUGUCAUCUUCCAUUCUGUGUACAUGACCAAGCCAGAGAGCGCCACAGGUGGUGAAAUGUGACAGGCUGCCUUCGUGUCUGCUGGUUUGCAGUCAAGCUGUCCAUAGGGUUGGGACAAUCUCUUCAGUUAGGGGCUGGGAAAUCAGUUGCUGAAGUGGUCACUUCAGGAAAACGUCAUUGCCAUGUUCCUUCCCUUCCUUUUAAUACAAGGACCUGCCACGGCUAUGACUUGGCACACACUUCUGUACUUGUACUAAAUGUGUUGACAAUGCACUUGAUAAGCUAGUGAGAGAUAUUAUAAUCGAGGGACUCAGGUAUUUACCUUCCCAGUGAAGAAGGCAUGGAAAGUCGGUUUGAAUAAAGAGGGACAGGGUUGCCAUUUCCUUCACGAAUGCUUGCAUUGAACAAGGAGCACAAGUUGGGUUGACAACCCAACACCGGUGUGUAUUUCCAGUCUCCAAUACAAUCAUUUCUCUUCAGGGUUCUAGCCAGCCUGGAAGAGGAGGCAUCUCAUUGCAAGAAUAAAUUCAGGAGAGGGAAAAGGACAUCUUUUCCUCGUCCCUCUGCUCCACAGACUUCCCCUGAUUCCCCCUCUUUUGAGGGCUUCUGAACCUUUCCUACUGUAUUUUUGGAAAGUUAUUUGCCUGUCUGCUUUGCAUUUGGACACUUCUUACGAUAUUGUAACCAAAUUUUGCACGAUGGUUCCUGAGAUCAAGGAGUAGGUUUUCAUCUGUUUGGAUUCAAUUGGAUGCCAUUUUGAAUCAAGAUGGCCGACUGAACGUUUCAAUAUGGCACUGAUUUUAACCAGUGAUGUCAAAACAUCUGUGAUUUUCCAUUUCUUAGAAUCCCUGAGCAAAGGUGCACGAGACUGUAUGUUUGUACAUGUUCCAAAACGUGGGAAAUUUUCCUGGAUCUGAAAGACAGAGAAGGGAGUUUCCAUUUAUUUUGUCUGUUAAUCUCAUAGCAUUCAUCCCCUCAACCCUAAGUCCCACCUGCAGGAUAAUAUAGGGGACUUAGGCAGGUGAGUUCUCUUUCUCCCUCCCUUUGUCCCCAUCCCAAAAUCUAAUACUCUGGGUCUCAUAGAAACAUACAGUCGACCUGACAUCUGGUUUCUUUCGACCACUUUUGUCUUCUUGGGGGCCCAUAGAUAUCAAAAAAUUUAGCCUGUCCGUGACUGGGCAACAGUCUCUCUCUGUGUGUCUCCCUCGCUCCCUCUCCUCCAUUAAAAGGUAGCAGCAAAGUGUUCAGUUUUAACCUGGAAGUUUAGUCUCCGAACAAUGAGGUAAGUUACUCUUGAGCAGGCAUAGGCAAACUUGGCCCUCCAGAUGUUUAGGGACUACAACUCCCAUCAUCCCUAGCUAACAGGACCAGUGGUCAGGGAUGAUGGGAAUUGUAGUCUCAAAACAUCUGGAGGGCCGUGUUUGCCUAUGCCUGCUCUUGAGUAUCUUACCUCACCUGCUGUCAGUGUUUAAGCACCACUUUUGGGAAACUAGGGCAGACUUGCAACACAACCCCUUUCUCCACACACCCCACAAUCACAUCCCAUUCAAAUAGUCUCAUGAAUCAUAAAAGAAAACAUUCUGUUUUAAUUAUGAAAUUGCAUUCUUCCAUACUGUUCCAGUUAUACUACGGACUGCACUGGGCUCUUCUACAAUGUCCCAUGCUGCUGCAGCAGCCGCCAAGUCCUUUUUGGUUAUUUUUGUUUAACCGAAGCCACAACCUGAGCGAAAUAAUAAUUUAAUAAUAAUAACCAUUUAUUAUUUAUACUCCGCCCUAAAAAAUUUACUAUUUGUAAUAUUUGUAAUAGAAGUAUAUACAAGGGAAAUGUUUUUAUUCUUUUAAUUCUACAGGUGCUUUUUUGAGGAGGGAUGGCUCCAUUAUCACUUUCAGCUGGGGUGGCUACAGGUCCUACUUUGCAGAGGAUGGUUGUCUGUUUGAAGUAUUGACAGAUGGCAGUGCCCACCCUGCUCCCAAAUGGUAGGCACUCAGCCAUCUGAGCUUGCUGUUAGAGGGAAUUAGCAUUAUAUCAAAAAGCGCCCUGAUUGUGACACUAUGUGUAAUCAAACAUUCAAGUUGUGAAAAUUGCUCUGCAGGCUAUUCCUUAUUGCGUUUUUUUUAAAUAAAAAAAUGAUUUUCUCUAUGAUGAAAUGUGAAGGGAAACUUAUUUUAGUUAUUUGAGAAAUCUUACGCACCCUCACCUGCUUGCUUUCAAGCUUGUUGGUGUAAUAAAUGGUUUUCUGUGUCAAUCCAUAAUAAACUUCAACGUUUUAAAUUACUGUUUGGAUUUACUUGGUAGAUUUUUGUGAGUCAUAACAAACCGAGGACGCUGAUGAAAUGCCACAGGAAGCCACUCAUAAGAUAAAUGGGAAAACUCUCAUAACCUUGACAGUGAAAUGCCAGCUGUCACGACCAGAAUCAUUAAAAGAUAUCAGUCGUAUUGCAAACCCACCUUCCGUUCUCUGAUUAAAAUCUGUCACCCGCACUGCCUCUUUGUAAAAUAAUGACAGAAGGGAGCCCCAGCACACAAUUUGUUGUUCUAAUAUUGACAGAAUGCAUGUGCCUGGAAUGGCUUGCCUCUUGCACGAAACCCAUGGUGGGAAGAGGAUGUCUCUCUAUGGGUUCUGUGUUGUGAGAUGCACACAUUUCCCCAUUCAGAAUUCAGCAGCUCAGGUCAUGGGCAUAGCCAAGGGGUGGGGUGGGGGUGGGGGUGGGCAGCUGCCCCAUCGAUCAAGUAACACAAUAGAAAUGCUUAACUAACUGACCAAUCACGUUGGUUCUGCCCCCCUAACAAAAGUCCUAUUAUUACUUAUAUAUAAACAACUCUCCUGGGAUGCGGGUGGCACUGUGGGUUAAACCACAGAGCCUAGGACUUGCCAAUCAGAAGGUCGGCGGUUUGAACCCCCCGCGACGGGGUGAGCUCCCGUUGCUCGGUCCCUGCUCCUGCCAACCUAGCAGUUUGAAAGCACAUCAAAGUGCAAGUAGAUAAAUAGGUACUGCUCCAGCGGGAAGGUAAACGGCGUUUCCAUGUGCUGCUCUGGUUCACCAGAAGCGACUUAGUCAUGCUGGCCACAUGACCCGGAAGCUGUACGCCGGCUCCCUCGGCCAGUAAAGGGAGAUGAGUGCCGCAACCCCAGAGUUGGCCACGACUGGACCUAAUGGUCAGGGGUCCCUUUACCUUUAUCUUUAUAAACAACUCUGGACCAGGUUACCAAAAAAACACAUUUCCCCUCCAUUGCCCAUUAAGGGCAUAAAGAUAAAUAAACCGACUCUGUUUCUCUAAUUUUAGCAAUAGCCCACACAGGUCUUCUGACAACUCUCAGCCCAUGCUGAUACCUAAAAGGCCUUUGCUACGCCUACAGUGGGCCACCUACCCUAGGAGGGCUCAGCCUUGCUCGACUUCCUUUAUUCCCACAAAAGGUUUCCUAUUAAAAAAAUGAUUCUUCCAUGUCACAUAGUUGACAGCCCUCUUCUGAAAGAUGAAGCUGACUGCGUCUGGUCAUGGAGAUGCAAUGUCCUGGAGACAGUUCACUAAUGCAGUAAAAAUGCAUGACCCCUUUGCUAGUGCUCCACUGUCUUUUUGUAGCAUACUGACUACCCCCCACUCCACCUCCCGUGACUCGCUCCUGGAAAAUGGCCCAUCCCUGUGAAAUACCUUGGAGUGCUACUUUCCUCUUUAUCACUGUUUAGCCUUUCAAGACACAACUUUUUUGAAGAUGUUAUUCGUUUCAAUCGCAUUGAGCUGCAUUUAACACACUCAGGGAUGGCAGGUUAUAAAUGCCUAAAUUUGGUUUCCCAAAUUGUCACUAUCCAGGCAUUGACAAGAUCCAGGCCUGCUUAGCUUCAGCAAGGCGGUGGCCUAAUAUGCUUUCCUACCAUACCCCGGGACCUUUGUAAAUAAUAUAAAUCCAGCACUGUCUCUUUGGAGUCAUAAGCUAACAAAGAAUUCCACAUGUUUGAGAAUUCUGAUGAAACAGAAGCAGGAGCAGAAAAUGCUGAUGUCUGCUUAUUUGCCCUAUAUCUGGAAUGGAAAUCAAUCUAGCAAAUAUAAUUGGCAAUUGCUGUUGUUGUUUUCAGUCCACAAGCUACACAUAACUGAUGACUCCCUCGCUCCAUUUGCAUUGCGUUUCCUUUGAAAUUGAAAUGAAUGGUGUGGAACAGGGGUCGGCAAGGUUUACCUCACCUGGGCUGGUUCACUCCAGCAGAGAUCCCUCUGUGGGCUAGAUUGCGCGCACGCAUAAGCGCAUGCGCCUGUGAUUUUCGACGUCUCUGCAUGCGCAGACGCAAUUUCCGGCGCCGCAGAAGCGAGUCCUCAUACCACACUGCACCGGUUUAGCACAGCACGCGGGGACUUGCCGAGCAGGCGGCUCAGUUUGGGGGCGGCUCAUGGGCCGGUUAAAUGACCCCCGUGGGCCACUUGUGGCCCAUGGGCCUUAGGUUGCCUACUCCUGGUGUGGAAUGUUGUAAUGAUAGUAAAAUUCCACCACAGCGGACAGCGAGCUGAAUAAUGUAGUUUUUGUCUGAAGCCGAGCUGCAGCAGAACAGAAAAGCUCUGCAUGUGACAACAUGGGUGAGAAUGGAAAUAGAUGCCUUCUUCCAUUUCUGGAAGGUCUAUUUUCUUCAGCCAAAAUUUAUCUCCUUGUAGCCCCUUCUUCCCAUCCUAUUCCCAGGACUCAAGCCCACAACAUAUCUUGAACAUAUGCCUUGGGAUGUCAGGCAACGAUUCAGCUGGAAUGAGGGAAUGGCAGUGAGAUCAGUCAGGAUAGCAGGUCUGGUGAUAUUCCCUGGCCUUUGCCAGAGUUUUCAGAUCAGUCUUCUUUGCUUGUCUGAGCACAAAGGAGAGCUGUUCCUGCUGUCCUAUUGCACAGGAGCAAGGUCUUGGAGCGAAAGGAGUGAACAAAUACUCCUUGUCCUUCAGCUAUCUGUCAGUAUGCCCCCACCUGCUUUAAUCUUCUCUUAUCUAAGCUAAUCACAGACACACUUCCUUCAGCCUCUUUGGCAGGAUUUGCCUUUUAGACUCUUUAUCAUGUGCCAUUAAGUUUGCUAACUGGAAAAAAAAAACCCACACCACUCUGCUGGGUUGUUUGGGUACAUCUGACUCCUGGAAUGGAGAUGGAAAAGCUGGUUUAGCUGGUCUGCCUGUGGACAUUUUUUUUAAAAAAUGUAUUGCUUUUGGACUUUUAUGCAUACACAAAUACUGAGCAUGGAGAUGGGGUGGGUGGGCUGAAAAGUUGUGUGCAUGGCACCAACCCAACUGCAAUUGAAAAUGGUGGCUGCACAGGCCCCAGCCUCUCCUCCAGCUAUGGACAUGAUAGCAAGCACUGGUCCUGUUAUGUACUGAAGUUCUCACCCUGGGCCAGCGGGGGGAUACUGUAGAUAGUUCAGGUCCACAUAUGCAGAUAAGGGAUCGAAAGUGACGUUCAGUGAUUGGAUAGUUACAGAAAAUGGUUACUGUUGCGUUCUAGUGGAGCUCUAUAUAAGCAGGCUGGCUGAACCCGUCAGUUCAGUUCUGUUCUGGCCUGUGAGCUGUUUGAAGAAUCGCUGUGUCGUCUGAUAUGUUCACCCACAACUUAACAGGUCCCAUCCCAGCUGAGGAAUCCUGGUAGUCCAAUGAUCAUUUCUUCCAGAUGCAAAUGGGUGGCGAUUGUGCCCUAAGACUUGUGGUGGAGAAAGAAGAUGAACUGGCAAAGGAGUGUAUUUCAUUACGGUUUUCACUAUAAAAUGCAUAAUGUGAUUUUACUUGCAGUCUGAGCUAAGUUGGCUCCCUUUCAUUGAUGUGCUCUGCAUUAAUUUGAAUGUUUCUCCCCAGGAAGACAAUCAGUGAGCCAACUUAGCACAUUCAACUUCAGUUUUCCCCAUCUAUAAAAUUGGUUGAUGUUUCCAAGCGUAUCCUCUAGCUUCAAAAUUCCUUAAAUGAUAUGCUUCCUAAUGUCAUGUUAUGCAUCAGAAAGGUGAAGAAUUACCGUAUUUUUUGCUCUAUAAGACUCACUUUUUCCCUCCUAAAAAGUAAUGGGAAAUGUGUGUGCGUCUUAUGGAGCGAAUGCAGGCUGCGCAGCUAUCCCAGAAGCCAGAAGAGCAAGAGGGAUUGCUGCUUUCACUGCGCAGCGAUCCCUCUUGCUGUUCUGGCUUCUGCAAUUCAGAAUAUUUUUUUUUCUUGUUUUCCUCCUCCAAAAAUUAGGUGCGUCUUGUGGUCUGGUGCGUCUUAUAGAGCGAAAAAUACGGUAGCUUAGUAGUCGCAUGGGGUGGGAAAGGAAUGCUUUAGGGGGUUGUUAUGUGGGGAGUGGUAGGUGGGCAGAGUGAGCAGGGGCACAGCCCCAUGUAUUAUAAAACAAAAUGAUCAGAAUAUGGCCUUUGACUUUAAUUGGCCAUUAGCCCCAUGCGACAAAUGGCUUAUUGGAUGAGAGUUUGUUAUUCUGUUUCUCUUUCCAGCAGUGCAGGGGACAUUGAUGAUUGCAUUACAGAUGUCCUCUUGGAUAUUGGCCAUCUCUUAAAAAAACAAACCCAAAUGCAUGUGGAGAGAUUGAUCGUGGCAGGCUGACCUUCAAGCACCCGCUGUUCUGCAUGACACCUUUUCUUCAAAUGUCAUUCCCUGUAAUAGCAAACUCAAGUGGUGAGUGCCGAGAAGACUGGUGUCCAAACUCAGCAUGAGAAGUGUAGGUGGGUUCCCACAAGGCAAGACACAGUGAUAACAGCAAGAACCUUUAUUGAACUACAUAACUGGGUAACAGGGGCAAAGCAACUGCUUAUAUAUAUUUCUGAAAGUCUGGGCCACUCCCACUCCCAACUUGAUUGGCUGUCUAAACUUCCAAGCUGCGAAUCACGACUCAGAGUUCAAGGGCCAAUGGCAGAGGCCCAAAUCCUGAAAUGUUCUGUGAUUGGACAUCAUGUAUCGAAUCAGAACACAGGAGCUCAGGCAAACACAGACCACUGAAUGCAUAACAGCAUGCAUGGGAGGAAACCCUGAGGUUUGCAAGAGUGCUAAGGAAUCUCGCAGGGUGGGGUGGGGGGAACUCUGAGGGCAAAACAACCACAACCAUACCCCAGUACAGUUGUACCUCAGGUUACAGACGCUUCAGGUUACAGACUCCGCUAACCCAGAAAUAGUACCUCGGGUUAAGAACUUUGCUUCAGGAUGAGAACAGAAAUCGUGUGGCAGUGGCACGGUGGCAGCGGGAGGCCCCAUUAGCUAAAGUGGUACCUUAGGUUAAGAACAGUUUCAGGUUAAGAACAGACCUCCAGAACGAAUUAAGUUCUUAACCCGAGGUACCACUGUACAGCACAAUGAGAAGUGUCUAUGCACAGUAACAUUUGAAUGUUGAGCAUUGGUUGUAGGAGAAUAUAAGUUUGGAGUAAGGGUGAAAUGCUUGAAUAAUAAUAAUAAUAAUAAUAAUAAUAAUAAUUUAUUAUUUAUACCCCACCCAUCUGGCUGGGCCCCCCCCAGCCACUCUGGGCAGCUUCCAACAAAACACUAAAAUACAAUAAUCUAUUAAACAUUAAAAGCUUCUCUAAACAGGGCUGCCUUCAGAUGUCGUCUAAAAGUCUGGUAGUUAUUUUUCUGUUUGACAUCUGGUGGGAGGGCGUUCCACAGGGCGGGCGCCACUACCGAGAAGGCCCUCUGCCUGGUUCCCUGUAACUUGGCUUCUCGCAGUGAGGGAACCGCCAGAAGGCCCUCGGCACUGGACCUCAGUGCCCGGGCAGAACGAUGGAGGUGAACUUGAGCUCCUUCCUGCUUAAAGUUUUCUGUAGGAGGGCAUAGUUGUCUGGCAGAAACUCUAAGAGCACCUAUGUCAAAGUUUUGUUACAGACCCCACUCAGACAUUUUUCUAAUAUCAAACUCCUGCAUGGAUUGCACUUAUUUUCAUUACAGGAUUCCAUUCCCCACCAUCAAUUUGCAGAUAAAAUAACACAUUUUAUUGACCUUACUAACCUCCCCUUCAUGGAUCACUGCCUUGCCAUGGCGAAGGGGCUUGAAUAACUCAGAGAAGCUAUGAACUAUGCCGAGCAGGGCACCCAAGAUGAACAGGUCAUAGUGGAGAGUUUUGACCGAACGUGAUCCACCUGGAGGAGGAACCGGCAAGCCACUCCAGUAUCCCUGCCAAGAAAACUCCAUGGACAAAGAAUGAGAGUAAAACUACGUAAAACUAAACUUUCUGUUAAUGUCAGGGUUAUGCUAGCUGGAAGGUGCGAUUUCAUCAGAACUCAGAAACAAAGCAGGGUUGGUUGCCUCUGAUCUGUGUACAGGAGACCUCAAAAUACACAUACAUGAGCACAUCAGAGGCCGGUUUACUUGCUGGCAUCUGUACCACUAAGGUAACUGGGGUUUCCUGUGAGCUGGAGCAUUAGUGUAUUGGGCAGCUUGCUAGAAGUGAUGUUUUUGUAGCUUAAACUAUUUUGCUGGCUUUUGGAAGUCCGCAGUGGUAUCAAGUAGUUUUUUUUUGGGGGGGGGCGGUUUAGGGGGAAAUGUCACUUCAGUGUUUAAUUUUCAAAACUAUUUAAUUUUCAGGACUACUUUUAUUGUAAUAAGGCAAGAAGAGUCGUGUUGGAUCAGCCUAAAAGCCUAGGACCCUCGUACCUACGGGACCGUUUCUCCCGGUAUGCUCCACAGAGGACCUCAAGGUCCAUAAAUAGCAACACCCUGGAGGUCCCGGGCCCUAAGGAAGUUAGAUUAGCCUCAACCAGAGCCAGGGCCUUUUCAACACUGGCUCCGGCCUGGUGGAACGCUCUGUCUCAUGAGACCAGGGCCCUGCUGGAUCUGAUUUCUUUCCGCAGGGCCUGUAAGACAGAGUUGUUCCACCUGGCCUUUGGCUUAGAAUCAAUUUGAUCUCUUCCCCCUCUUUCCUUUUUCAUUCUCUUUCUGUGAUGGAACUCCUAUUUGGGGACUUCCCUGGCUUUUUUCUGGCCCAUGUAGGACCAGUCUGGAUAGUUGGCCUUGAUGAAGACUUGACAUUUUCAUCCCCCAAAAAAGUUUUUGAUUUGAGUUCCUACUGAAAUGAGGCUGCGUUUUAAUGUUUUAAUGUUGCAUUUUAAUCUUGUUUUUAAGUUGUAUUUCAAUCAAUUGUUUUUAUACCUGUGUCAGCUGCCCUGAGCCCGGUCUUGGCUGGGGAGGGUGGGGUAUAAAUAAAAAUAUUAUUAUUAUUAUUAUCUCAGCAUCCUGUUUCCUGCAAGCAAUGCAUAAGAGCAGCAGGCAUUUAGAGACAUAGUGAGUGAUCAUGACAGCCACUUCAACUAUCACAGGAUCAUAGAACUGGAAAUGUCACCUUGUCUAACCCAUAAGUGAUGAAGGAACAUAGCUGUCAAUGUUUUCCUUUUUUUAAGGGAAAUUCCUUUAUUCCGAAUAGGAUUCCUCGCAAGAAAAGGGAAAAGUUGACAGCUAUGUGAAGGAAACCCAGUACCACAGCAGUGAUGCACAUCCUUGAUAGGUGACAAUCCAGCUUCUGCUUGAAAACCUCUAAUGAAGGAGAGACCAUCACAUCUCAAGAUGAACUGUUCUACUGUUGUCCCUCCUUGUAACAUAUCUAAGUCCUUCAAUGUUUCCACAUAGACUUGAUCCUUCACUCAAAGGACUAGGAGCCACUGAUAGCCUCAUUCUGCAUGGGCUUGUCUAACAAUUGUCUUUUAAAGCUAUCUAGGUUGACAGCCGGGAUGUGGGUGGCGCUGUGGGUUAAACCACAGAGCCUAGGACUUGCCGAUCAGGAGGUCGGCGGUUUGAAUCCCCGCGACAGGGUGAGCUCCCGUUGCCCGGUCCCAGCUCCUGCCAACCUAGCAGUUCGAAAGCAUGUCAAAGUGCAAGUAGAUCAAUAGGUACCGCUCCAGCGGGAAGGUAAACGGCGUUUCCGUGCGCUGCUCUGGAUUUGCCAGAAGCGGCUUAGUCCUGCUGGCCACAUGACCCGGAGGCUGUACGCCGGCUCCCUCGGCCAGUAAAGCGAGAUGAGUGCCGCAACCCCAGAGUCGGCCAUGACUGGACCUAAUGGUCAGGGGUCCCUUUACCUUUACCUAGGUUGACAGCCAAGUCUUUAUGAAAGAAGACAGAUCACGUGGUUUUUGGGUUUGUUUGUUUUUUUACAAUAAGGGUCCAAACUACACAGUGCUCCUGGAAAUACGUUGAAUGUUGUUUCCCUCUGAUGAGAAAAACCUUUAAAAAUUAUCAAAGUUAAGAAAAAGUGUCUCUCUGAACAUGUGCAAAGUGCCCCAUACAACACCAUCUUUUCAAAAGCGCAUUAACAAUGUCUUUCUCUUUUUGGCAACUCCUGCAUCCAAGCUGGUGCCAAAUGUAUUGCUCUGCUUUCCUUUGGACUACAGCAGUGAGGCUGAGAGGUGAGUCCUGUCAUCUGGGCAGCCCAGGACCGCCAUACACACUGCCCAGGCUUGCCCAUCAGAGAGGUCGCUUUGGCACUGCUAACACAGCAAAAGCAACAUGGGGGACAUCAGUUGCAAGUUACUGGUCUCUGCAGUCACAGCAGGGGCUGUGAUUCUCCAGAAGUUCAGUGUCAUCCAUGAAGGUGCACUCUCUUGAGACAAAUGGACGACAACAACAAUGUAGGAAAGCAAUCACCUAAACAUAGAACACAUAUAUGCACAAUUUCUUGGGGAAAUGACAUGAUGUGAUCCCAGGGUAAGGACCAUAUACAGUGGACGCUCGGGUUGUGAACGUGAUCUGUGCGGGAUGCAUGUUCACAACCCGCAGUGUCUGCAACCCGCAGCGGCACGUCUGUGCACGCGUGGGUUUCUAUUCGGCGCAUCUGCACAUGCACAAAGCGCAAUUUAGCCUUCUGCACAUGCGCGACAGCCGAAACUCGGAAGUAACCCAUUCCAGUACUUCCAGGUUUCGGCGGUCCGCAACCCCAAAAAACCCAACCUGAAGCGUCUGUAACCCGAGGUAUGACUGUAAUUUCAGAAACACAUCAGUCAGAUAGAUCAUAGAAUCAUAGAAUCAUAGAGUUGGAAGAGACCACAAGGGCCAUCGAGUCCAACCCCCUGCCAAGCAGGAAACACCAUCAGAGCACUCCUGACAUAUGGUUGUCAAGCCUCUGCUUAAAGACCUCCAAAGAAGGAGACUCCACCACACUCCUUGGCAGCAAAUUCCACUGUCAAACAGCUCUUACUGUCAGGAAGUUCUUCCUAAUGUUUAGGUGGAAUCUUCUUUCUUGUAGUUUGGAUCCAUUGCUCCGUGUCCGCUUCUCUGGAGCAGCAGAAAACAACCUUUCUCCCUCCUCUAUGUGACAUCCUUUUAUAUAUUUGAACAUGGCUAUCAUAUCACCCCUUAACCUCCUCUUCUCCAGGCUAAACAUGCCCAGCUCCCUUAGCCAUUCCUCAUAAGGCAUCGUUUCCAGGCCUUUGACCAUUUUGGUUGCCCUCCUCUGGACACGUUCCAGUUUGUCAGUGUCCUUCUUGAACUGUGGUGCCCAGAACUGGACACAGUACUCCAGGUGAGGUCUGACCAGAGCAGAAUACAGUGGCACUAUUACUUCCCUUGAUCUAGAUACUAUACUCCUAUUGAUGCAGCCCAGAAUUGCAUUGGCUUUUUAGCUGCCGUGUCACACUGUUGGCUCAUGUCAAGUUUGUGGUCAACCAAGACUCCUAGAUCCUUUUCACAUGUACUGCUCUCAAGCCAGGUGUCCCCCAUCUUGUAUUUGUGCCUCUCAUUUUUUUUGCCCAAGUGCAAUACUUUACAUUUCUCCCUGUUAAAAUUCAUCUUGUUUGUUUUGGCCCAGUUCUCUAAUCCGUCAAGGUCGUUUUGAAGUGUGAUCCUGUCCUCUGGGGUAUUAGCCACCCGUCCCAGUUUGGUGUAGAUAUGUUGGUUGGAAUGUCUGAGCUUUAGAAAUUCAUCCAACUAGCACAAGUCUUCUUACUUCUUACUCUGAUAGUGUACUGUUGCAACAUCUAUAUUUUUCUGGCCUGGAUUCUGAGGUUCUGAGUGAUGAAGACUUGAAGCUGCUCUGUACUGAGUCAGAUCAUUGUUUGAGCUAGCUCAGUGACCUGAUGGAUAGUGGCUCACCCAAAAACCAGAGACCCUCUGCUCUGCCCUAGAGCUCUGCCCCCUUGCUCAUAGCUGUUCAUCUCAUUUAUACAUCUGCUUAACACCCCUCCC